AUGCUUUUAUCAUAUUGCAUUUUGCUAAUGGUAGGAGAAACACAGCUGCAAAACAGUAUCUGUGGCUACCAACUGUACAUUCAUUCAAAUUGUAUUGUCAAAUGCUUUCCUCUCAGUGAGCAGAGCUCCAUGUCAUCAAGUCGUACCCAGCAGUUGCAUGCAUUUAGCUGGAUUCGCAACCACCUUGAGGAGCAUCCUGAAACCUCGCUGCCUAAACAAGAAAUUCUUUGUGACUUUGGAAAGAUCAUGAAGAACGUCUUUCCCAACAUGAAGGCACGUCGACUUGGCAUGCGAGGCAAAUCCAAAUAUCCUUCAGUGGAAAUUUUUAAGGCUUUUGUACACAUGCCAUCUCUUCCCAACCUAGAUCUUCACAAAUCAGGUGAUGGGUGUGAAGUGUUUGAACCUACUGGUCAACUGUCCAGUGCAGAAGACGAGGUGCGCAUGGCCGCAUGUGGGUUGGUGUGCGAGUGGGCACAGAAAGUGCUGAGUCGGCAGUUUGACAGCGUUGAGGAUCUGGCUCGAUUUCUUUUGAACAGCCACUAUAUUGGAACUAAGUCUGUGGCUGCUCUUACUGUGAUGACCGGUUCCCCCUCAGGUACACCUCAGGUUAAAACCCUGGUCUCACCCUCAGUAGAUGCCAAACAGCAGCUACAAAGGAAGAUCCAGAAGAAGCAGCAAGAACAGAAACUGCAUUCUCCACUCCCUGGUGAAGCUCAGGCCAGGAGGGCAGAUGGGGGCAUAACUCCUGGGGCAGGGACAGGCAUACCCUGUGGAAGUCCUGCUCUUCUCUCACCUCAACCUAUUGGGAUUGUGGUUGCAACUGUUUCCAGCCCUAUCACGGUUCAGAGGAGCAGGCAGUUGUUGUCUCCUAGCCCUGUUCCCAUGGGAGCUGCAGACAGCAAAGUUCUUCCUGUAAACUUUCAAGUGGUUACCCAGUCAGUGCAGCCUGUGAAGCAGUGCCCCAAGACACCUCAUAAUAUCUCGGCUAGUCCGAUAAGUGACCGGUCAGCCCGUCAUCGGUAUGCCCAAAUCCUGCCCAAGCCAUCUGCCUCAAGUGGCAUAACCCUGCGCUCACCAACAUUGCUUAUUACCAACAGCCCCAUCAAGACAGUAAUGUCAACUCCGCAUGUCAGUUCGGUCAAUGUAGUCAAGAUGACGACCAUAUCUCUAGGCUCUAAUGGCAGUGGGACCAGCACACCAGCCGAUAGCCCUGCCAGCAACAAAGUCAGACCCGCAUCUGCUGGAGUUGCCAGCCUCAAUGAUGAUCCACAGCCAGUUACGCGUGUUCGCAGUGGGUCUAUAGCUGUAAUGCCAUCUGUUUUGGCAAGGUCAGGCCGCUCAACAUCCAUGACCCCUGUCAUCGACACUAAAACAAAUACUGAAGCCAUAAUUGGAAGUGGUCAAGAGCACGGUGGUACAAGUAGACUGGCAACCACUCUGGACACCAUUGGUGGUGUACAGCGGUCAGGGAUAUUCAAACCAAGAGCGGCUAGCGUACCCACUCCUCUUGACAAGGGCUCUCUGGGAUUGGACACUCUAACAGGGACCAAAUGCAGUGAGAGGACACUCCUUAGUGUCAAAACUCUGUCUGCUGGCAGCAAUAAUAUGUCCAACACUAAUGAAAGCACUUUGUACCAGAACACAAGUAGCACUCAGUCAAACAGUGGUAAUGCGGUUGUGACAUCACCCAAAGAUGCAGUGUUGGCAUCCAAGAGCCCUCACAAAAGACCUGGCUUAUGCACUGAUUUGAGCCCAACACCUGUUAAAAAAGCCCACAUUUCUGUGCUACCAGCAGGUGGAACCGAUGGACUGAAGUCGAAUGUAAUGGCGAAGCAAAAUCCAAGAUCAAGCACUCCUAUAAAGACAGAAAGUGCACCUCUCACAGCCACAGGCAAAGCUACUGCAUCAGGUCAGGAUACUUCAGUGGGGAAUACCAUGUUUCAGACUGUUUGCAGACCCCGAAGCAUCUCCCAAGGGAGAUGGGAAGGAUCUUCAACAGGUGUUGAAGGUAGAGCUGUGGUCACCCGAACUGUUAGCGCUCCAGGUCAGGCUUUGCUACAACAAGUAACCAAAAACUCAAAGGAUUUGCUUCUAGACCAGUCUGACUCUUCUGCAGCAUAUGAACUGAAGAGUGUAUUUUGGGAUAGUGAGCUGCAAGAUGCUACUCAACAACAUCAGGAAGUUUAUGGCCCGCAAAUGGUGUCUGAGCCAAAGCAAAUGUCCACCCCAGUGAUGGAGCCCCUUCCUGCAAUUGCUCAAGCCUCUCCUUCCAACCAGCAGGCUCAAAUGGGUGACUAUAGAACCCAGGCCAACCUAAGCUACUUUCCGUUUGAUGAUGACAUGACUCAGGAUAGCAUUGUUGAGGAACUUGUACAAAUGGAAGAGCAGAUGAAAAUUAACAAUAGCAUACAAAAUUUCAGCAACUGUGUGGAUAAUGCACUGCAAGGCCAGCAACAAACCAUGCAGACUACCAUGAUGUCUACCCUCCAGACCAACACCCUGUAUUACAGCUCUGCUCAUAGCAGCAGCACCCCAAUCCAAACACCCACUCCUACACCUACUCCCACUUCUGAGAUGAUAGGAAGUGGUCAGGGUAUGAUGCACGAAAGCCCCUGUUCGCGCUUAGCCCCAACCACUCCGGUCGACAGCGCUCUUGGAAGUAGUCGACAAACACCUAUUGGCACGCCCCACUCCAACUGCAGCAGUAGUAUCCCACCAAGCCCUGUGGAAUGCAGGAACCCUUUUGCCUUUACUCCUAUUAACUCCAGUAUCACUGGAUACCAUGAUGGAAGUACCGUCUCCUCAAGCCCUGUCAAGCCCAUGCAAAGACCAAUGGCCACACAUCCAGAUAAGACUAAACUGGAAUGGAUGAACAGUGGGUACAGUAACAGUGGUGGGAACACCAACAAUGGCAUUAGCAUUCUGCCCAGCUACCGAGACCUAGUAGAUGACCACUUUCGAAAGCCUCACGCCUUUGCCAUCCCGGGCCAGACCUGUCAGUCGCAACCCAGAUAUCAUGAAACUCAUAUCAGCCGCUUGACACCCAUUUCGCCUGUCCAACAGCAAGUGGCAAGCAUGGCUAGCCUCAACAAGAAAGAGGGUUUUGCUGUUCCAGCACCCCUUGACAACAAGGCCAGCUCAGGGUCCGGAACAUUUCGAUGCCGCAGCGUUAGCCCAGCAGUCAGGCAGCGCAACUUGAGCGGGACCCAAAAUCCCAAUGUUCCCCACUCUGUGGUCUCUCCUUUCAACUCACCUGUAACACCUGAAGUGCUAAACAUCUUUUCUAACAGUGACCCUGAUGCAAGCAUCAGCAGCAUGGCACAGAGGAGUCAGUCUGUUCCAGUCACAGUGAUGAUGCAGUCUGAGGUUCUACCCAUGCAAGCAGGCCAGCAGAUGAAUACCAAAAACAUCACCAAUGUCCUCAUCAACAAAAUGGAUGGCGAAGGAGAUGACUCUGUGCGUGGCAUCGGAAUCAACAACAUGCCGUCCAACUACACUGCCCGCAUGAAUCUCACCCAGAUUCUAGAGACCACCACAGUGCCCAGCUUUCCUGGUAGUGCCAGCCACCAAGCUCUGAUCUCGCCUUGUUCAUCAGCCUUUGAGUCCCAGAAGCCUGCUUACCUCAUGAAAAAUGCCAGAGAGGAGCCAAUGAGCUUCUCUGUAGACGAAAGCCAAGCACAAUCAUUCCUUGGGCAGGAACAACAGAACAGAACUGUUAAAGAUCUUUUACAUGAGGAAAGCUUGAAUUCUGGCUCACAGCUUGUGGGUCAAGGAUCAGAGCUCCGUGCUGGGAGUUCAGAGUUUCCCAGCGAUAUGCGACUAACCUCUGAGCUUACCGGUAGCAUAAGUGACUUAAAUACAUUGGACACCAACCUUCUUUUUGACCCCAGUCAACAGCAAGGACAAUAUGAAGACUCGACACUGGAAGAACUGAAGAACGACCCACUUUUUCAACAGAUAUGCAGCGAGACUGUGAAUUCUGCGGGCUUUGACUGGUUGGAGAGCAAAGACCAGGCAACAGUGGAAAUGUUGGGUUAA
Molecule: long non-coding RNA, 4038 nt
Organism: Cyprinus carpio (common carp)
Lineage: Eukaryota; Metazoa; Chordata; Actinopteri; Cypriniformes; Cyprinidae
Source: Ensembl